Molecule: ribosomal RNA, 497 nt
Filed under: uncultured bacterium
Lineage: Bacteria
Description: partial 16S ribosomal RNA
Rfam family: Bacterial small subunit ribosomal RNA
Source: RNAcentral
GAUGAACGCUGGCGGCGUGCCUAAUACAUGCAAGUCGAGCGAACGGACGAGAAGCUUGCUUCCCUGAUGUUAGCGGCGGACGGGUGAGUAACACGUGGAUAACCUACCUAUAAGACUGGGAUAACUUCGGGAAACCGGAGCUAAUACCGGAUGAUAUUUUGAACCGCAUGGUUCAAAAGUGAAAGACGGUCUUGCUGUCACUUAUAGAUGGAUCCGCGCUGCAUUAGCUAGUUGGUAAGGUAACGGCUUACCAAGGCAACGAUGCAUAGCCGACCUGAGAGGGUGGUCGGCCACACUGGAACUGAGACACGGUCCAGACUCCUACGGGAGGCAGCAGUAGGGAAUCUUCCGCAAUGGGCGAAAGCCUGACGGAGCAACGCCGCGUGAGUGAUGAAGGUCUUCGGAUCGUAAAACUCUGUUAUUAGGGAAGAACAUAUGUGUAAGUAACUGUGCACAUCUUGACGGUACCUAAUCAGAAAGCCACGGCUAACUACGUG